RNAcentral lists this ribosomal RNA (462 nucleotides) under uncultured bacterium. RNAcentral describes it as "bacterial SSU rRNA". It matches the Rfam family "Bacterial small subunit ribosomal RNA", at positions 917 to 1382 of the family's 1533-position model. The record is from RNAcentral.
GAGCCCGCACAAGCAGUGGAGUAUGUGGUUUAAUUCGACGCAACGCGAAGAACCUUACCAGGGCUUGACAUCCACGGAAGGCCGAGUAAAUUUGGCUGUGCCCCUUCGGGGGAGCCGUGAGACAGGUGGUGCAUGGUUGUCGUCAGCUCGUGUCGUGAGAUGUUGGGUUAAGUCCCGCAACGAGCGCAACCCUUACGGUUAGUUGCUACGAAAGAGCACUCUAACAGGACUGCCGUUGACAAAACGGAGGAAGGUGGGGAUGACGUCAAAUCAUCAUGCCCUUUACGCUCUGGGCUACACACGUACUACAAUGGCGUAAACAAAGGGGAGCAAUGCGGCGACGCGGAGCAAAUCCUUAAAAGACGUCCCAGUUCAGAUUGUAGGCUGCAACCCGCCUACAUGAAGUUGGAAUUGCUAGUAAUCGUAGAUCAGCAUGUUACGGUGAAUACGUUCCCGGGCUUU